This 474-nucleotide ribosomal RNA is filed under the name uncultured bacterium. RNAcentral describes it as "bacterial SSU rRNA". It matches the Rfam family "Bacterial small subunit ribosomal RNA", at positions 29 to 496 of the family's 1533-position model. The record is from RNAcentral.
AACGAACGCUGGCGGCAGGCCUAACACAUGCAAGUCGAGGGGUAACGGAAGUAGCUUGCUACUAGACGACGACCGGCGCACGGGUGAGUAACGCGUAUGUAACCUACCUCUAACAGGAGAAUAGCCCUAAGAAAUUGGGAUUAAUGCUCCAUAACAUUAUUAAUCUGCAUGGAUUAAUAAUUAAAGUUCCGGCGGUUAGAGAUGGACAUGCGUAGUAUUAGAUAGUUGGUGAGGUAACGGCUCACCAAGUCUGCGAUACUUAGGGGUUCUGAGAGGAUUGUCCCCCACACUGGUACUGAGACACGGACCAGACUCCUACGGGAGGCAGCAGUGAGGAAUAUUGGUCAAUGGACGCAAGUCUGAACCAGCCAUGUCGCGUGCAGGAUGACUGCCCUAUGGGUUNUAACUGCUUUUUANAUAGGAGAAACCCUGGUACGUGUACUAGGCUGACGGUACUAUAUGAAUAAGGAUCGG